This 473-nucleotide ribosomal RNA is filed under the name uncultured bacterium. RNAcentral's name for it is "partial 16S ribosomal RNA". It matches the Rfam family "Bacterial small subunit ribosomal RNA", at positions 30 to 523 of the family's 1533-position model. The record is from RNAcentral.
AUUGAACGCUGGCGGCAGGCCUAACACAUGCAAGUCGAACGCCCCGCAAGGGGAGUGGCGCACGGGUGAGUAACGCGUGGGAAUGUACCUUUUAGUUUGGGAUAACAGCGGGAAACUGCUGCUAAUACCGAAUACGCCCUUAGGGGGAAAGAUUUAUCGCUAAAAGAUCAGCCCGGGUCAGAUUAGCUAGUUGGUGGGGUAAUGGCCUACCAAGGCUCCGAUCUGUAGCUGUUCUGAGAGGAAGAUCAGCCACACUGGAACUGAGACACGGCCCAGACUCCUACGGGAGGCAGCAGUGGGGAAUAUUGGACAAUGGGGGGAACCCUGAUCCAGCCAUGCCGCGUGUGUGAAGAAGGCCUUAUGGUUGUAAAGCACUUUAAGCGAGGAGGAGGCUCUUUUGGUUAAUACCCAAGAUGAGUGGACGUUACUCGCAGAAUAAGCACCGGCUAACUCUGUGCCAGCAGCCGCAGUAA